AAUACUCAGGUUUAUGAAAAAUUAAAAUUUUGACUUGAGAUGAAAAUGACCAUUUUGCCCCUACUUUGGAAAUCAUCAUUAUUUUUAUUUCCUUCGUCAUUUAAUCCUUAUUUUCAUCAUUCAUUUAUGCUUUAGGCCUACUUAGGCCUUAAAAAUGUUUGAAAGCAUACUUCUAGGGGCACAUUAAUAAAAUGAUGAAAUUACCCCUAGCUUUGGUUGUUGUGUCUACACCUAGAUAUGAGGUUAUAGAGGUCGAGGUCUCGCAUAUGUAAUUCAUCACAUUAUAAGUUUAAAAACAUAGAAGUAUCACUUGUGAAAAGCUUGUUCUACUCUAUAAAUUUUAAAAGAGUCAACCAAGGAUAUUCUAACAUUUCAUUCAACACAUGCAUUUGUUCAAAACCUUUUAAAUGCAAGUUCACUCACCUUACAACUAGCACCAACAAGGUCCUAAUCCAAGUAAGUCCUGAAGUACCAUUAGGACCUAUAUAUGUCAAUAAACCAUAACAACCUCAAUUAUGUCAUAAAUUGAAUCUAAUAAUUCUAAUAAAUUACACUAGACAAUCUACACUCUAACCUAACAUUUAACCUAAAAUUCUAGUUUAAUUCACAAACCCAUUAGACCAACUAUUCUAAUUUAGAGUUUCUUUACCUGGAUGAGCUUGGUGGUAUACAGAUCAAUAGAAACCUAAUAUUUCCAAGAAAACAAAUUUGAAGAAAAUUAGAAAAUAAAAUCUAAAAAUAUAUAUAAACCCAUAAAUUUCAAAACCAUGAGUUGAAAAUAUAUACCUUUUGGCUUUAAAAUGCAGAUCCAAAGCUAAAAAGCUUAGGUAGUGAUGAAAGUGCAGUAUAAUGGAAAAAUGAAGAAAAGAAAAGAAGAAAAUUUUCUUUUCUCUCUCCCAAACCUCGUUUGUCAUGAAAAUGAGCUGGAGAAUGGUGGAUUGAUGAACAAGGAAAAGAUAGAAGAAUGAAGAAUCAAGAGAAGAAAGAAAAGGGAAAAGAAAUAAAGAAAAAGAAAAAAGAUCGAUUUUUGUUGCAAGGGAGAAAAUGGUGUUGGGUUGGAAGAGAAGAAGAAAAUGCCUUAUGGAGAAGAUAAGGAUCAGCCAUGGAUAAGGAAGAAAAUAGUCAAAGCUUCCUUUGGAAGCUUUGACCAAGCUCAUGACAAAAUUACCAUUUUGCCCUCUAAGUUUCUCCUCUUUUUAAUUUAGUCCUCUCAACAAUCUUUUAAUUACAAUUUCCUUCUAUUUUUUCUUUCUUUACAUGUGUGCAAACAAAAUAUAAAGUUUUCACUUCAACGCAGUAUCAUCAUAAUAUUUAAAUAUCUACUUACCCGUUCUAAUUCUAUUUAAUUAAGACACGCGGGCACAACUAUUGCCAUUUUUCUUCGAAAUUCUAACUUAUUUCUUCUCCCCCACUUAGAUUAUCCAUAUACUCCUCCUUCAUGAUUAAUUUCAACCACAGCUAAGAUAUUAAUAUUUUAAUAUCAUUUUAUUAAUAAAAUAUUAUUUUAUUCCAAAGUUCUCCAUUAGCCAUCUAGGGCUCCGAAACAUCUUACUUUGCCCCGGUUCACUUCCAGAUCACCUUUUAACUCAGUAAUUCACCUUUAAUAAAAAUAUUAUUAUUCUAUUAUGAUUUCCUCGCGUGCAAGAUAUUUUAUUUUAAAAUACUCCUUUCACUCGUUUCCAUUCUUUGAUGCUUAAAUCAGCAUCCAUUGACCCUUUGUCUUGUUGAUAAGGUCAUAUUGACUUUUGUACGAAGGUACGAGGUGUCACAGUUAUGUUAAAUGUAUAAGGUGGCUUAAGAGGCCGAAUGGACACCCGAGGGUGUUGAGACAUUUAAAUGAUAUGGGCACAAUGAUGAUAUAUGAAAUGUUUACACUUACACUAAUACAUUGAGACAUUCUAUAUAUGUGUAGUGUUACAUUUGAUGGUAUGCAUGAGUUGAUGUUGUAUGCUUAUGGAUGUUUAAGUAUACUUCCAUAUUAACAAAUGUUUAAUUAUGAAUGUUAAAAAUGCUUACUUAAGCCUAACGGGCUAUUCCUGUAUGUGUUCAUGUGCCAGUCAUGUUCUACCAUAAAAUGGGACAUGACUGUCUCAAAGUAGUAACACCUAUACCCAAGGUAGUUAGUUUAGAGGAUUUUGCUAUUGACUUACAAAGAGUUAGUCAUACCAUGGAGGUUUUACUCAAUAGAUCUUGGAUCAAAAGUGACAGGGUAGUGAUCAUCCUAUUGUCCAAGCAUGCUCUGAAUCUUAGAGUUAGAGUGAUUAGCCACAAGUUAGUAUGAUUAAAGUUGGGGCCAAGGAUCAACUAUCGGAGUUCAUGAAGCUAAAACCCCCUACAUUUUCUGGAUUCUUAGAUGACAUUGAGGUCAUAUGCAAUUCUUAUAGUUACACUAGCACUUGGAUGGUGGAGCUAGCUACAUUUUGACUAGGUAAAGCAACUGAGCAGUGGUAUGAUCUAUUAUGUAAAGGCAAAGUGCCUGGUGCUACACCAAUUACUUGGCAGAAGGUUCAUAUAGCUUUUUGAUGUGUUUUCUAUUUGUCAAUGUGAAAGAGGCUAGAGCUCGUGAGUUCAAGAUGUUAAUAUAGACCCCAAGGAUAAUAGUGCUAAAGUAUAGUAUUAAGUUUACUGAGCUGUCUUCGUAUGCACCUUACUGAGUGGUUACUGAGGAGAUGAGGGUUAUAAGGUUUGUUAAUGGAUUGGUACGACCUCUAUAUAGAGCUGUAGCGCCCAAGGAGUUCACUAAUUACUUUAAGGUAGUGAACUGUGCUCUUAGGCUAGAGAUGAAGGAUACAAAGACUAGAGGAAGGUAAGAUAGGUCCAAGAAUGUAGGAUUGAAGGCCAAUAGGGCUGGCAAAAAGGUUCACAAACAUCCUAGUAAUUAAGCGGUGCUAGUGGCAGUUCUAAGAAGAAGAAUACUACCAAAUCACACAAGUAACAGGCUACAAAAUAGUCUUAAGAACAUAGAGCAUUAUGUUUUUCAUAUGGUAGGAGGCACAAACGGCAAUGUUUCCAAGGAACCACCUUUUGUUAUUCAUGUAGGUUGACUAGAUAUUUUGCUAGGGAUUGUCUCAAUGAUCGAAUUACUUAGGGGUCGACACAUGGACAAACACAGCUAACUUUACCUACCCCAUCCGUAGUUGCUUAGACUAGUAGAGAGGUUAGAGGAGCAAAAGGUCAAGGUGCUAGUAGUUCAUUCAAGGGUAGAGGAUUUAAAGCCCAAGGGAAUUUUGGUCAAGGACAGGCCAAAGUUUAUGCUCUAACUCAACAGGAUGCAUAGGCAUCCAAUGAAGUGUUGAAUGUAUGCUACCUAUUUGUUCUAUUGUUGCAUCUAUAUUGUAUGACCCUGGUGCUAGCAUUCAUUUGUAUCCCCACACUUUACAUCUUGAUUAGGUAUAAGGCGCUCUAAGUAGGAGCAAGACUUGGUAGUUACUAUACCGUUGAGAGAAAUAUUUAUGGCAAAGGAUGUGUAUAGAGAUUGCAUGGUUCGAAUUAGGAGCAAGGACACUUAAGGAAAUUUAGUUUUGCUAGGCAUGUUGGAAUUUGAUGUGAUAUUAGGCAAAGAUUAGCUGUCACCCAAUUAUGCUAGUGUUGAUUGCUAUUAGAAGAGGGUACACUUUAACUAUUCAAGGGAGAAAGCAUUUACUAUCCAAGAGGAUCGUAGUAUAGUGAUGAGUAAUAUGAUUUCAACCUUAGAGGCUAGAAGAUUGAUUGGUCAUGGAUGUUAGGGUAUCUUGGCAUUAAUCAAGAACACCCACAUGGUGGGUGAGGUGGCCAACGUGCCAAUUGUGAGGGAGUUCACUAACGUGAUUCCCAAUGAGUUACCAAGAUUACCACCAAAUAGAGAUAUAGAGUUUUAGACCGGCUUGGUACAGGGAACAAGUCUGAUAUCUAUACCACUGUACUGAAUGGCACUAGUAGAGCUGAAAUAACCCAAGGGUCAAUUGGAAGACCUAUUGGAGAAGGGUUUCAUUCAUCCUAGUUUGUCACCAUGAGGUACAUUAGCGCUAUUCAUAAAAAAGAAAGAUUAUUUAAUGAUACUGUGUAUAGAUUAUCGACAAUUGAACAAGGCGAUGGUGAAGAAUAAGCAUCAUUUACCACGCAUUCAUGACUUGUUUGAUCAGCUCCAAGAAGCUCAAUAUUUUUUUAAGAUUGACUUCAGGUCAGGCUAUCAUUAGUUGAGAAUUAAGCAAGAGGAUAUGCCUAAGACUACUUUUCAAACUAGGUAUAAGCAAUAUGAGUUCUUGGUGAGGUCAUUCGGACUUACGAAUGCCUUGAUUGACUUUAUGGACACAAUGAACCGAGUGUUCAUGCCAUACUUGGAUAGGUUUAUGGUUGUAUUUAUUGAUGAUAUAUUGGUAUACUCGAGGAGUAGAGAGCAGCAUGAGCAACAUUUGAGGAAAGUGCUUCAAACUUUGAGUGAGCAAGGGUUGUAUGUUAAGUUCUCCAAGUGCGAGUUCUAGCUUGAUAGUGUUAGCUUUUUAGGCCAUGUAGUAUAUAAGGAUGGAGUUAUGGUGGACCCAAAGAAGAUCGAGGUGGUGGAGAAAUGGCCAUGGCGUACUUUAGUGACUGAGAUAUCGAGUUUUCUAAGGUUGGCCGAAUAUUAUAGAAGAUUUGUUAAGGACAUCUCCAACAUCAUAGCUCCUAAGACUAAGUUCACAUAGAAGGGUGUCAAGGUUUUAUGGACAAAUGCAUGUGAGGAGAGCUUUAGGAAGGUGAAAACAUGUUUUGCCAUAGCUCUAGUAAUGAGUUUACCUUGUGGUUUAGGGGACUACAUUGUUUAUUGCGAUGCCUCAUGAGUAGGACUUGGGUGUGUGUUGAUGCAACAUGGUAAGGUGAUUGUGCAUGCAUCGAGACAGCUCAAGAGGCAUGACCAAAAUUACCCCACCCAUUAUUUAGAGAUGGCUACUAUAGUGUUUGCCCUAAUGAUUUAGAGGCAAUACCUAUAUGAUAAGAUGCGUGAGAUUUACAUGAAUCACAAGAGCUUCAAGUAUAUCUUUGAAUAGAGGGAUCUUAACCUUAGGCAGCAAUAACUGUAAAGCUCGAUCUUAUGAAACACUUGUCAUGACAUACAUGUGAUGGAUAGCAUGUUUGCAUGCUAAGAGAGUCCCCGAAGAAUUUACAAAAGUCGGUAUUGUACCUAGAGGUACAACAAAGUUGAUUUAAACCUCGAACUAGACCAAAUAGAUAUUUUAGGGUGAAAUUGAAAUUUUUAAAAUCCUAGAACGACUUAAAAUGGUGAUUCGGAGUUCGAGGAUUAAUUUGUAGUCAAAUUGAAAAUUUCACUAUCUAGGGGUAAAAUGGUAAUUUUACCACUCGAGGACAAAAUGAGAAUUUUUUUGAAAUAUUUUGAUCAUAUUUGACUUAUUGGAGUAUGAUUUGAGGUUGAGAAGUGAAAAAUUGAAAUCUCGGUAUUUUUCAAAGCAUAGGGUAAAAUGGUAAUUUUGCCACCCCAGAGGAAAAAUUGUAGUUUUACACACCCAACACUUGUCCAGCACAUGGAUUUUACCCAACAUUAUCAUGGAUAAUUGAAGAAAUUUAUAUGUUGGAGAGAGAAAGCUUAAUAGUUAAGAAAUGACACAUGGACCAAUAAUAGGGUGACAUGUGUCAAGUUUGUAACCAUUUAUUAUUUAGCUUUAAAUUUAGCAUAAAAUCAGCCCAUUCUCUUCAUAUGGCCGGCCAAACCAAGAGCAAAGGAAGAACAAAGGGAGAAAAGAAAAACAAGAACCCUAGGUGGGAAAAUUCAAGGAAAAAAUUGGUGGAUUUUAAGUAAUCAAGCAAUCAAAGGUAAAAUUUCUUGAUUUUGACUUGUGAUCUACCUUUCCCAUGCAUUUCUCCUUAUUUUCCAUGGUUAAAUUACAUGUUUUCAUGAUGAAUUCAUGGCUGGUCAAAAUGGGUAUGGAGAGAGAAAGAUGUUGGAUUGAUUUGAUUUUAAGAUAUGUUAGUGUUUUUAGUUAGUUUAGCAUAUUUAGAAGCAAAACAACAAGAAAAAAAUCCAUUUUCCCCAUGAAUCUUCAUUGGCCGAAUCUUCCUUGAUGUGUGUGGGUGAUGGAUUGUUAUUAUUUCAAGAGAAAUGGCUUAGAAAAUGAUGAAUAAUGGUGAGAAAAUUAAUUAGAAAAAAUCACGGUGUUAGUGCACUGUAAUGGCCGAAUUUUUCCAUGAAGAAAUGGGAGGGUUUUGAUGCUGAAAGUGGUGUUAUUUGAAUAACGUUUGGUGAAUUGAGGUAUUAGAAAAGAAAUGGAGUAAUUUGGGAUUAAAUUGGACGUGUUAGUAAUUUAAUCGGGUGAUAAGACGAAUUAGGCCAAUGCCGAGUUUAGAUAGUUACCAGUGUAUUUUUGCAUUCCCUAUCAUGCAUUAGUACUUUAAAUUAGUUUAAUUUCAAUUUAGUACCAGUGUAGUAAGUUCCUCGAUUUUGUACUGUGUCAAGGUGGUGAGUCCUCCCACAAGGGCAAGGAAAUUGUACUUGAUGAUCGAUAAUCGGAGUACUUUAGAAAUUCGACUUCCGAAAUAGUGAGUAACCUUAUCAACAUUUUAAUUAUCUAAAGUAUGUUUUGAUUCAAUUUUGGUGAAUUUUAUGAAAAUGAGUUCAAAUGGUAAAUUUUAGGUUUUAUAAACAAAAAUGAGUUUAAAUGAAAAUAUUUUAUAAAUUGUCUUGAAACGAAAUAACGAUUUUGAAAAUAGAGUAACUGGAAACCACUGGUAUGUUGUAAAUUUUAUGAUUGGAAAUUGAUGGCUUAUGUUAUAUUGUUAUUGUGCUGGCAUGACUGGUUGGGAUAUGUUUUAUGAAUUGUAUGAAUUAUUUUAUUUUACGCUUGCAGGUUGGGUAGUAAAAUAUUAGCUCUGUCAUGCAGUCAAAAUUUUAUUAUAUGGUGGGUUUAGCUUGCUGCAGUAGGCGGGUUUACGUGGACUAGCCCAUUAGCAGGGCACGAUAAACCCCGUUAUAUUUUACAUCAGUUGGAGACGCGAGUAGGGUAACUCCUGAGGUAUAACUUUUAGAGUUCACUUCACGCCAAACCACCACGUGAGGGGGAACUCGGCCAAUGCCAAGGAACAGCUAUAUUUUUAAAAUAAAAACAUGUUUAUGCGUACGUAACUUUUUAAUAGCCUUGGCGGACUCAGUUGGGAUAGCCCUCGGCCAAGGUAUCCUAGAUAACUGAGUAUGAUAAUAAUUUUUGGCAUGAGCCAAGCUUUUAGGAAAUUCAUAAGCCAUACUGAUUACUUUAUUUGAAUAAAUUGAUUUCAUUUGGUUGAAAUAAGUUGAAAGGUGAUAAAUUACAGUUUGAUGAAAUGGUUUAAUAGUUUCCUUUUACUUGCCUUUAGAUAUUUUAAAUGAUAUUUGUUUACUCACUUGGAUUUUAUAAUUUCACCACCCUUCUUUCCACCCUUUUCAGGCUCAGGAUAGUCGGUAGAUAGCUCAUUUCAUCGAGGAUUACAAUUGGACUGGCAUCCUCAAAAUAUGUAGGUUUAUCUCUCUAGAUACCUUUGGUCGUUCGUGGGCCCAUGUGUCACUGUAAAUUUAAUUUUAUACUUUGGUUAUCUGUAUUACAAUAUAUAUGAAUUUAUUUUGCUUUUUUGCUGUAAAAAUUAACUUGCAGUGUUCUAAAAAUAUUGUUUUAUGAGAAAAUUGAAUAUUUUAUUCUAUAUCUUUAUUAUAUUCAAAUAGUUAUAAUUUCAUUUUAAA
Molecule: long non-coding RNA, 7678 nt
Filed under: Theobroma cacao (cacao)
Lineage: Eukaryota; Viridiplantae; Streptophyta; Magnoliopsida; Malvales; Malvaceae
Description: long non-coding RNA (TCAC_LNC005975)
Source: RNAcentral